This 1317-nucleotide ribosomal RNA is filed under the name uncultured Alphaproteobacteria bacterium. Its description in RNAcentral is "bacterial SSU rRNA". It matches the Rfam family "Bacterial small subunit ribosomal RNA", at positions 29 to 1393 of the family's 1533-position model. Lineage: Bacteria; Pseudomonadati; Pseudomonadota; Alphaproteobacteria. The record is from RNAcentral.
ACGUACGCUGGCGGCACGCCUAACACAUGCAAGUCGAACGAAGUAGCAAUACUUAGUGGCAGACGGGUGAGUAACAUGUAGGUAUCUGCCCUUUGGCCUGGAAUAACACGAGGAAACUUGUGCUAAUACCGGAUAAGUCUUUACGGAGAAAGCUUUAUGCACCAUUGGAUGAGCCUGCACUUGAUUAGUUUGUUGGUGGGGUAAUGGCCUACCAAGACUGUGAUCAAUAGCUGAUUUGAGAGGAUGAUCAGCCACAUUGGGACUGAGACACGGCCCAAACUCCUACGGGAGGCAGCAGUGGGGAAUCUUGCACAAUGGAGGAAACUCUGAUGCAGCGAUGCCGCGUGAGUGAAGAAGGCCUUUGGGUUGUAAAGCUCUUUCGUCGGGGAAGAAAAUGACUGUACCCGAAUAAGAAGGUCCGGCUAACUUCGUGCCAGCAGCCGCGGUAAUACGAAGGGACCUAGCGUAGUUCGGAAUUACUGGGCUUAAAGAGUUCGUAGGUGGUUGAAAAAGUUAGUGGUGAAAUCCCAGAGCUUAACUCUGGAACUGCCAUUAAAACUUUUCAGCUAGAGUAUGAUAGAGGAAAGCAGAAUUUCUAGUGUAGAGGUGAAAUUCGUAGAUAUUAGAAAGAAUACCAAUUGCGAAGGCAGCUUUCUGGAUCAUUACUGACACUGAGGAACGAAAGCAUGGGUAGCGAAGAGGAUUAGAUACCCUCGUAGUCCAUGCCGUAAACGAUGUGUGUUAGACGUUGGAAAUUUAUUUUCAGUGUCGCAGCGAAAGCGAUAAACACACCGCCUGGGGAGUACGACCGCAAGGUUAAAACUCAAAUGAAUUGACGGGGACCCGCACAAGUAGUGGAGCAUGUGGUUUAAUUCGAAGAUACGCGCAGAACCUUACCAACACUUGACAUGUUCGUCGCGACUCUAAGAGAUUAGAGUUUUCGGUUCGGCCGGACGAAACACAGGUGCUGCAUGGCUGUCGUCAGCUCGUGUCGUGAGAUGUUGGGUUAAGUCCCGCAACGAGCGCAACCCUCACUUUUAGUUGCCAUCAUUAAGUUGGGCACUCUGAAAGAACUGCCAGUGAUAAGCUGGAGGAAGGUGGGGAUGACGUCAAGUCCUCAUGGCCCUUACGUGUUGGGCUACACACGUGCUACAAUGGUAUCUACAACAGGAAGCAAGACUGCGAAGUUAAGCAAAUCCCUAAAAGAUACCUCAGUUCGGAUUGCACUCUGCAACUCGAGUGCAUGAAGCUGGAAUUACUAGUAAUCGUGGAUCAGCGUGCCACGGUGAAUGCGUUCCCGGGUCUUGUACACACCGC